This 85-nucleotide transfer RNA is filed under the name Felis catus (domestic cat). It matches the Rfam family "tRNA". From Rfam's summary of the family: Transfer RNA (tRNA) molecules are approximately 80 nucleotides in length. Their secondary structure includes four short double-helical elements and three loops (D, anti-codon, and T loops). Lineage: Eukaryota; Metazoa; Chordata; Mammalia; Carnivora; Felidae. The record is from Rfam by way of RNAcentral.
GCCUGGGUGGCUCAGUCGGUUAAGCAUCUGACUUCUGCUCAGGUCAUGACCUCAUGGUUCCUGGGUUCGAGUCCCACAUCGGGUG